Molecule: ribosomal RNA, 802 nt
Filed under: Escherichia coli
Lineage: Bacteria; Pseudomonadati; Pseudomonadota; Gammaproteobacteria; Enterobacterales; Enterobacteriaceae
Description: partial 23S ribosomal RNA
Rfam family: Bacterial large subunit ribosomal RNA
Source: RNAcentral
AACAUUGAGCCUUGAUGUGUAGGAUAGGUGGGAGGCUUAGAAGUGUGGACGCCAGUCUGCAUGGAGCCGACCUUGAAAUACCACCCUUUAAUGUUUGAUGUUCUAACGUUGACCCGUAAUCCGGGUUGCGGACAGUGUCUGGUGGGUAGUUUGACUGGGGCGGUCUCCUCCUAAAGAGUAACGGAGGAGCACGAAGGUUGGCUAAUCCUGGUCGGACAUCAGGAGGUUAGUGCAAUGGCAUAAGCCAGCUUGACUGCGAGCGUGACGGCGCGAGCAGGUGCGAAAGCAGGUCAUAGUGAUCCGGUGGUUCUGAAUGGAAGGGCCAUCGCUCAACGGAUAAAAGGUACUCCGGGGAUAACAGGCUGAUACCGCCCAAGAGUUCAUAUCGACGGCGGUGUUUGGCACCUCGAUGUCGGCUCAUCACAUCCUGGGGCUGAAGUAGGUCCCAAGGGUAUGGCUGUUCGCCAUUUAAAGUGGUACGCGAGCUGGGUUUAGAACGUCGUGAGACAGUUCGGUCCCUAUCUGCCGUGGGCGCUGGAGAACUGAGGGGGGCUGCUCCUAGUACGAGAGGACCGGAGUGGACGCAUCACUGGUGUUCGGGUUGUCAUGCCAAUGGCACUGCCCGGUAGCUAAAUGCGGAAGAGAUAAGUGCUGAAAGCAUCUAAGCACGAAACUUGCCCCGAGAUGAGUUCUCCCUGACUCCUUGAGAGUCCUGAAGGAACGUUGAAGACGACGACGUUGAUAGGCCGGGUGUGUAAGCGCAGCGAUGCGUUGAGCUAACCGGUACUAAUGAACCGUGAGG